Molecule: ribosomal RNA, 440 nt
Filed under: uncultured bacterium
Lineage: Bacteria
Description: partial 16S ribosomal RNA
Rfam family: Bacterial small subunit ribosomal RNA
Source: RNAcentral
CCUACGGGAGGCAGCAGUGGGGAAUAUUGCACAAUGGGGGAAACCCUGAUGCAGCGACGCCGCGUGAGUGAAGAAGGAUCUCGGUACGGAAAGCUCUAUCAGCAGGGAAGAAAAUGACGGUACCUAACUAAGAAGCCCCGGCUAACUACGUUCCAGCAGCCGCAGUAAUACGUAGGGGGCAAGCGUUAUCCGGAUUUACGGGGUGUAAAGGGAGCGUAGGCGGGAGCACAAGUCUGGAGUGAAAUGCCGGGGCUUAACCCCGGAACUGCAGUGGAAACUGUGAGGCUUGAGUGCAGGAGGGGUAAGCGGAAUGCUUGGUGUAGCGGUGAAAUGCGUAGAUAUUAGGAGGAACACCGGUUGCGAAGGCGGCUUACUGGACUGUAACUGACGUUGAGGCUCGAAAGCGUGGGGAGCAAACAGGAUUAGAUACCCGUGUAGUC